ACUGCAGUCUGCAACUCGACNGCACGAAGCUGGAAUCGCUAGUAAUCGCAGAUCAGAAUGCUGCGGUGAAUACGUUCCCGGGUCUUGUACACACCGCCCGUCACACCAUGGGAGUCAGUAACGCCCGAAGUCAGUGACCUAACCGCAAGGGAGGAGCUGCCGAAGGCGGGACCGAUAACUGGGGUGAAGUCGUAACAAGGUAUC
This 204-nucleotide ribosomal RNA is filed under the name uncultured bacterium. Its description in RNAcentral is "partial 16S ribosomal RNA". It matches the Rfam family "Bacterial small subunit ribosomal RNA", at positions 1297 to 1500 of the family's 1533-position model. The record is from RNAcentral.